AGGGGAGCCGGAGGGAAACCGAGUCUUAAUUGGGCGUUAAGUUGCAGGGUAUAGACCCGAAACCCGGUGAUCUAGCCAUGGGCAGGUUGAAGGUUGGGUAACACUAACUGGAGGACCGAACCGACUAAUGUUGAAAAAUUAGCGGAUGACCUGUGGCUGGGGGUGAAAGGCCAAUCAAACCGGGAGAUAGCUGGUUCUCCCCGAAAGCUAUUUAGGUAGCGCCUCGUGAAUUCAUCUCCGGGGGUAGAGCACUGUUUCGGCUAGGGGGCCAUCCCGGCUUACCAACCCGAUGCAAACUGCGAAUACCGGAGAAUGUUAUCACGGGAGACACACGGCGGGUGCUAACGUCCGUCGUGAAGAGGGAAACAACCCAGACCGCCAGCUAAGGUCCCAAAGUCAUGGUUAAGUGGGAAACGAUGUGGGAAGGCCCAGACAGCCAGGAUGUUGGCUUAGAAGCAGCCAUCAUUUAAAGAAAGCGUAAUAGCUCACUGGUCGAGUCGGCCUGCGCGGAAGAUGUAACGGGGCUAAACCAUGCACCGAAGCUGCGGCAGCGAACGUAUCACUUAAAGCGAUUCAGCGGAUGACGAUUGACGGAGCGAAGCGACGUCAAAGCGUAUACAAAGUCGAGUCGGUUUAAGGAUACGUUCGUUGGGUAGGGGAGCGUUCUGUAAGCCUGUGAAGGUGGCCUGUGAGGGUUGCUGGAGGUAUCAGAAGUGCGAAUGCUGACAUAAGUAACGAUAAAGCGGGUGAAAAGCCCGCUCGCCGGAAGACCAAGGGUUCCUGUCCAACGUUAAUCGGGGCAGGGUGAGUCGACCCCUAAGGCGAGGCCGAAAGGCGUAGUCGAUGGGAAACGGGUUAAUAUUCCCGUACUUGGUGUUACUGCGAAGGGGGGACGGAGAAGGCUAUGUUGGCCGGGCGACGGUUGUCCCGGUUUAAGCGUGUAGGUGUGUGUUCCAGGUAAAUCCGGUUCACUUUAACACUGAGGCGUGAUGACGAGGCACUACGGUGCUGAAGCAACAAAUGCCCUGCUUCCAGGAAAAGCCUCUAAGCAUCAGGUAACAUCAAAUCGUACCCCAAACCGACACAGGUGGUCAGGUAGAGAAUACCAAGGCGCUUGAGAGAACUCGGGUGAAGGAACUAGGCAAAAUGGUGCCGUAACUUCGGGAGAAGGCACGCUGACACGUAGGUGAAGUGAUUUACUCAUGGAGCUGAAGUCAGUCGAAGAUACCAGCUGGCUGCAACUGUUUAUUAAAAACACAGCACUGUGCAAACACGAAAGUGGACGUAUACGGUGUGACGCCUGCCCGGUGCCGGAAGGUUAAUUGAUGGGGUCAGCGCAAGCGAAGCUCCUGAUCGAAGCCCCGGUAAACGGCGGCCGUAACUAUAACGGUCCUAAGGUAGCGAAAUUCCUUGUCGGGUAAGUUCCGACCUGCACGAAUGGCGUAAUGAUGGCCAGGCUGUCUCCACCCGAGACUCAGUGAAAUUGAACUCGCUGUGAAGAUGCAGUGUACCCGCGGCAAGACGGAAAGACCCCGUGAACCUUUACUAUAGCUUGACACUGAACAUUGAGCCUUGAUGUGUAGGAUAGGUGGGAGGCUUUGAAGUGUGGACGCCAGUCUGCAUGGAGCCGGCCUUGAAAUACCACCCUUUAAUGUUUGAUGUUCUAACGUGGACCCGUUACCCGGGUUGCGGACAGUGUCUGGUGGGUAGUUUGACUGGGGCGGUCUCCUCCUAAAGAGUAACGGAGGAGCACGAAGGUUGGCUAAUCCUGGUCGGACAUCAGGAGGUUAGUGCAAUGGCAUAAGCCAGCUUGACUGCGAGCGUGACGGCGCGAGCAGGUGCGAAAGCAGGUCAUAGUGAUCCGGUGGUUCUGAAUGGAAGGGCCAUCGCUCAACGGAUAAAAGGUACUCCGGGGAUAACAGGCUGAUACCGCCCAAGAGUUCAUAUCGACGGCGGUGUUUGGCACCUCGAUGUCGGCUCAUCACAUCCUGGGGCUGAAGUAGGUCCCAAGGGUAUGGCUGUUCGCCAUUUAAAGUGGUACGCGAGCUGGGUUUAGAACGUCGUGAGACAGUUCGGUCCCUAUCUGCCGUGGGCGCUGGAGAACUGAGGGGGGCUGCUCCUAGUACGAGAGGACCGGAGUGGACGCAUCACUGGUGUUCGGGUUGUCAUGCCAAUGGCACUGCCCGGUAGCUAAAUGCGGAAGAGAUAAGUGCUGAAAGCAUCUAAGCACGAAACUUGCCCCGA
This 2244-nucleotide ribosomal RNA is filed under the name Salmonella enterica subsp. enterica serovar Bovismorbificans. RNAcentral describes it as "partial 23S ribosomal RNA". It matches the Rfam family "Bacterial large subunit ribosomal RNA", at positions 659 to 2802 of the family's 2925-position model. Lineage: Bacteria; Pseudomonadati; Pseudomonadota; Gammaproteobacteria; Enterobacterales; Enterobacteriaceae. The record is from RNAcentral.